UUCAGAAUCUUGCACAAUGGACGAAAGUCUGAUGCAGCCAUGCCGCGUGUGCGAAGAAGGCCCUCGGGUCGUAAAGCACUGUCAGAGGGAAAGAUCAUGACGGUACCCUCAAAGGAAGCCACGGCUAAUUACGUGCCAGCAGCCGCGGUAAUACGUAAGUGGCGAGCGUUAUCCGGAAUUACUGGGCGUAAAGCGUUCGUAGGCGGUGCAGUAAGUUGGGUUUGAAAGCCCGGGGCUCAACUCCGGACCCGGAUCCAAAACUACUGCGCUGGAGCAUAUCAGGGGGCAGCGGAAUUCCCGGUGUAGCGGUAAUAUGCGUAGAUAUCGGGAGGAACACCAGUGGCGAAGGCGGCUGCCUGGGGUAUUGCUGACGCUGAGGAACGAAGGCCAGGGGAGCGAACGG
RNAcentral lists this ribosomal RNA (403 nucleotides) under uncultured bacterium. RNAcentral's name for it is "bacterial SSU rRNA". It matches the Rfam family "Bacterial small subunit ribosomal RNA", at positions 355 to 775 of the family's 1533-position model. The record is from RNAcentral.